RNAcentral lists this ribosomal RNA (1235 nucleotides) under Enterococcus faecalis. Its description in RNAcentral is "bacterial SSU rRNA". It matches the Rfam family "Bacterial small subunit ribosomal RNA", at positions 31 to 1286 of the family's 1533-position model. The record is from RNAcentral. Lineage: Bacteria; Bacillati; Bacillota; Bacilli; Lactobacillales; Enterococcaceae.
GAUCCGAAGCCGGGGUGCUAUACAUGCAAGUCGAACGCUUCUUUCCUCCCGAGUGCUUGCACUCAAUUGGAAAGAGGAGUGGCGGACGGGUGAGUAACACGUGGGUAACCUACCCAUCAGAGGGGGAUAACACUUGGAAACAGGUGCUAAUACCGCAUAACAGUUUAUGCCGCAUGGCAUAAGAGUGAAAGGCGCUUUCGGGUGUCGCUGAUGGAUGGACCCGCGGUGCAUUAGCUAGUUGGUGAGGUAACGGCUCACCAAGGCCACGAUGCAUAGCCGACCUGAGAGGGUGAUCGGCCACACUGGGACUGAGACACGGCCCAGACUCCUACGGGAGGCAGCAGUAGGGAAUCUUCGGCAAUGGACGAAAGUCUGACCGAGCAACGCCGCGUGAGUGAAGAAGGUUUUCGGAUCGUAAAACUCUGUUGUUAGAGAAGAACAAGGACGUUAGUAACUGAACGUCCCCUGACGGUAUCUAACCAGAAAGCCACGGCUAACUACGUGCCAGCAGCCGCGGUAAUACGUAGGUGGCAAGCGUUGUCCGGAUUUAUUGGGCGUAAAGCGAGCGCAGGCGGUUUCUUAAGUCUGAUGUGAAAGCCCCCGGCUCAACCGGGGAGGGUCAUUGGAAACUGGGAGACUUGAGUGCAGAAGAGGAGAGUGGAAUUCCAUGUGUAGCGGUGAAAUGCGUAGAUAUAUGGAGGAACACCAGUGGCGAAGGCGGCUCUCUGGUCUGUAACUGACGCUGAGGCUCGAAAGCGUGGGGAGCAAACAGGAUUAGAUACCCUGGUAGUCCACGCCGUAAACGAUGAGUGCUAAGUGUUGGAGGGUUUCCGCCCUUCAGUGCUGCAGCAAACGCAUUAAGCACUCCGCCUGGGGAGUACGACCGCAAGGUUGAAACUCAAAGGAAUUGACGGGGGCCCGCACAAGCGGUGGAGCAUGUGGUUUAAUUCGAAGCAACGCGAAGAACCUUACCAGGUCUUGACAUCCUUUGACCACUCUAGAGAUAGAGCUUUCCCUUCGGGGACAAAGUGACAGGUGGUGCAUGGAUGUCGUCAGCUCGUGUCGUGAGAUGUGGGUAGUCCCGCACGAGCGCAACCCUUAUUGUAGUGCAUCAUUUAGUGGCACCUCUAGCGAGACUGCGUGACAACGAGAGUGGGAUGACGUCAUCAUCAUGCCCUUAUGACCUGGCUACCACGUGCUACAAUUGGCAGUACACGAGUCGCUCUAGAACCGCC